UCGGUGGCCGUUUCAGACGGCUUUCUUGGAAACAAACGGAAUAAGGAAGCAAAGGCGCGGGGCCUCCGAUUGUGAUCGCUGGUGGAUGUCCCAAAGGAAGCUUACUUUUGAUGAUGAAUGUCAGUUAUCUGAUAUCAAAGCAGUUCACAUCACUAAAAGGAAGACCACUAAAAUAAAAUAAAAACUAUGCACAAUUUGAACAACAGGAAAUCAAGUCAAGAGGUGCAGCUGUCUUUUCCAGGAAGACAGAGAUGGGUUGAGCAACUGCAGCAAUGAUGCUGUCACGGACAGAACUCUGAAAUAUAGCACCCAAAUCCUGCAGCUGCUUUUGACAAAAUCCCUGUCCUUUCUUAAUCUGAAAACAGCAAAUUCCACUGAGCCUUCUUCAAGCUGAGCUCAACUUCUAGACAAAUAUCAUCUAAUUUUGUCACUGUCUUUUUCUUGAAUGGUUUUUGACUCCUAGAGUAACCUAUGACUGGUAUUUCUGGGCGAUCAUCCUGACUUAUCCAGGUCCAACACUACUUAGCUUUUAGAACAGCCAGUAGCUAGGCAGACUCCUUUUUUUUAGUAAUUUUAAAACCAUUCUCAAGGUUGCAAAAAUGCAAAGAUUGUAUAAUACAUGAUGUUUGGGAUGGGGUUGUGCUCAUGCAGGAAGGACUGAUUUGUAAUAAGGGUAUACUCCUUGACUUGAGCUUUCAUUGGGUUUGCAGGUGGUGGCAAUGGUUUCCUAAGAUGAAUUUGGUUCCAAUCUUCCCAGCAUUCAGGAAGUUGGAAAAACAAAUCUUUUUCUACAUUUUAUUUUGUGAUUUAAGCUUGGUUUUACUUGGAUAAGCAUCUAUUUUAUUGUCAUGCUUUAUUCUCUCCAUCUUUGCUGCAAAAUGCUUUGAGUACUGGAGUUAAUGGAAUAGUAGGGUAUCAAUUCAAUAAGUAAUGUGGUAGCCACAUUUGCCUUAAACCUUUCACUAUUGCCAUCAGCCUAUGAAAUGAUAAAGAUUUAUGACAAAAUUCAAUUUUCACACUAAGAUAUGUGAUUUGGCUGAUUUCAGUACAGAGAGUUGCACCAAAUUAACUUAUUGUGGAUUAGUCAAUAUGAGCCCAAACAUGAAUACUCAUGUGUCUUUAAUUUAUAUCUUGGUACAAAAUUAUGGGUAUGAUUUCCUAAGAAUCCACAUACAGUUGCUUGGAAAUAAGAAUAUAGGAAUACCAAGGAAAGAUUUAACCCUUUCCUUCCCCUUCUAAAUUCUUAAUGAAAACAAUUGUAUAAAAGCACCAUUUGAAUUAAGAAAAAAAAUUCCAUUGGCAUCAAUUGAAAGUUUAUCCAGAAGCGUAAUUUCAGAAGAGUAAUUUUCAUGAUAGUUUCAGGAAGGAAUAUUAAAUUCCCUUUCUUGUCUGCUGAAAUCUUGAUAACUUGCUGCUAUUCCAAGCAAUCAUUUGCAUGUUAAAGGAUGUACAAAGAUUAAUUUAAUAAAUUAAUUGGGCUCCAUGUCAGAACUGCAAAUAGUUAAAUAUAUAAAUGCCAUUGUGGCAUUUAUUUACAGUCCAGCCUGCCAUAAAAAGGCAAAUAUAAAUUGUUACACAAAUAUUGAAGAAUAAUUACAAGAUUAAUUUUAUACAGCUUUUUGUAUUGAUUAUCCUAAAAAUCUCUUCCAAUACUGGAAUUGGAAUGAAGUAGAUGUACUUGUCUAUUCAACAAUAAUAUUCUUAACAAAUUCACCUUCUAGGAAACUGACAUAUAAAGGACCUCUAAGAGGCAAGAAAGUGAAAAAUGUUCACACCUCCCUCUUUCCUCUUGUUGCAAUCCUUUGGUGUAAUUUUUAUUUAAAACAGUUUAAGUAAAUGAGUUAGUAAAAGUACCAAUCCAUCUGAUAAUAUGAAAUACUAAACCAUACUGUUGAUACAUGGGGCCUAGGGAAACUGCCUAUUUUUUUUAAAAAAAAAACCUAAUUAAAUCUGCAUGUACAAGUACAACAUUUAAAUAAGUGGGUAUUGCAAUUUUAGAAAAAUAAAUUAGUAGACCUAGUCAGAGUUCUGUGACUCUGUUAUUUGGUCUUUGUCAGAUAAAUUUGACAGGGUUGUUACAUCGGUCUCUGUAACACAUACUUGCACUACUAAACUUUAUGCCAGCAAGAAAAUUAGAAGCUAAAAAUAAAGCAUGAAAAGUGUUGUGACCUUUUUGAAGGGAAAAAAGGAAUGAAUGCAUGAAAGCCAAUUGCCAGUUUGAAAACAUAUCCCUGGAAUGCUUUGUUAACACACCCUAAACCAUGACCCCAGUUGGAACACUACAAUCGUAAAGAAAAAAUAAACUAGAAAGCACAGUUGAACAGAUAAAAUUACAAGGAGCAUAGAUUAGGAAACUAGGUAAUAAUUUAUGCAUUAGCUCUAGUUGUUGAUAUACAAUGGUGAACAAAUAUCUCAGACAGCAUCCAAUAAUAUUUUUCAUUAGAGUAGAAUGACUUAAUGGGCAUCUUGAAGUGUGUGGCUUCAUAUAGAUUUUAAUCAAUUUAUUUUGAUAAUAUGCAGCAAAUGAUAGUUACCAAAAUAUUACUUUUAGAGAAAAUGUUUAUUUCUACUCCAAAAUGGCUCUCCAUAACCAUUCAGACUGAAAUAAAGUUAAAUUUAUAUAGGCAGGAAUAAAUGUUAAAUAGAAACACAUAAACGAAAAUUUGUCAUCAUAGGAAGAGGAGGUAAUAUUGGCAAAAUUCUCUGUUGGCUCCUUAUUCAUAUAUCAAACAGAUUUGGUUUUGUCUAGUUAAAAAAAGUACAAUACAGUAAAAUGAUUUCUUGCCCAGAAACUCUUAUGAUGGGGCAGGAUUCUAAUAGGUGAUGGUAACCGAGUCAUGAUCACAUACCUACAUUAUUUGGACUACCACAAUGAACUAUUGAAGAUGACCCAGAAGUUCUAAAUAUGCAGUGGAUAAGUCAAACUCCAUCCUUUGAAAAUAACUCAUCCAUUACAAGAAGUCCCAUUGAAUUCAAAUCUACAAGUUGCCAAAAUCAUAUCUGCUCACCUUGUCUGGUUAUCUAGUGAGGAGGCAAUAGUGGUCACUCCUCCUCAUGAAGUUUUUGGGGCAGAGAUCAAGUAACAGAUCUUCCCAGAGGUAGUCCUACUUUUAUCGGAUAUUCUGCAGUCUGGAAGUGCAGGCAGCCUCUACACUACAUGCAUUUCUAAAAUUAAGCAAAGAGUGUUGUUCCAAUUAGCCCUUACUUUAGUUUAACUGAAUAGUACUUACAAUUUGCUAUUGGUAUUAACUGUAAUCUUUAAUACAUUUGGACUGUGGCCACACAUUUGUUAUGAGGCAUCCACAACAAUUCAUUUUUCCAUGUUGCAUCACUGUUGUAUAUCUUGGAUAGACCGUAUAAGAAAUUCUCUCACUAGCAUCUACUGAAGAACUUCCAGAACGCUUGUAGACCUGAUUUUCUCCAACCAAGAUCUUGUCACUUGUGAAACUUCAUUAUCAGCUCAUAAAAUGUCUUUUGAGCCCUUUUGCUUAGCCAUCUGCUUCUUUCUCUUUCUCCCAGUGACUAGGGAGAAAUGACAUGGUACUUUUCAGAGUUUACAACUGCUGCCAAAUUCCAGCAUUUUUCCAUUUCAAUGUGUGAGUUCGUUUUGGAUAAUAAGCUUUUAGAGUUUUUUUUUUAAAAAAGCUGAUUUUAGUAAUUAUCUAUCAAAUUUCUCUCUGAAGCAGUCAGUUUUGUAAGACUGUAUUCACACCUUUGUCACUUAUGAUCUGGUAAUGAAACAGAAUGGUACUACCAAAGAUAUUUCCUUUAAGAUUGCUUCAUUUAUAUUCUGGAAGAUAAAAGCUGCACACAUUUAAGUCUUCCUGCCUUUUAUCUUCACAGAAAUAAAGUGUGAACAAAUUGCCUUGGGACUGUUUGUCUUGAAAGUCAGUUUUAAACUGUCUUAAACAUUACAAUAUAAAGGAAUACAAGCAAAAACUAUCAUUAAAUAUGCAAUGGACCAUCUUAAAUGUUCAAUAGUAAAUGUUAAAUUUCUUAUUGAAAGAAUCCAAUAGUCUCAAAAAUACAUUAUACUGAUAUUAUAUUGAUAUUAGAAAGCUAGUACAAUAGAACAGAACAAGAAAAAAUAAACUCAUUGGUUGUGCCAUGAACAAUAGUAAACUGUUAUGAAAACCACUCAAAACAAAAUGUUUCUUUACAGGAUUACUGUAUUAUUGCUCUCCCUUUGCUUAGCUUUGAACAAUCUCUUUAAUUUUUCAGACAAUAAAUAUGAGAGAAACAUAAUCAAGCUUGAAAUAUUAGAAUAUGAACAUUUUAUCCAGCCUUGACAUUACUGGAGGAACAACUAAGUCUACUCUAAUGAAUUAAUUCUGGAGGAGGUUUACAGUUCAUUGCUUGAGUAAACCAAACAGAACCUAAACACUGUAAUAAUUUAAAAAGUGUUCUGUAUCUGGUUACACUACUUUACCUUCUGAAGAAUCUGUCUGAGUGGCUAAUGACAACAUAACUUAAAAUGAGUUUUUAAAAAAUGAGCUAAUAUAAAUUAAAGCCUGAAAAAGGA
This is a long non-coding RNA of Crotalus tigris (Tiger rattlesnake), 4522 nucleotides long. RefSeq lists it as uncharacterized. The record is from RefSeq and is a predicted model, not a curated record. Lineage: Eukaryota; Metazoa; Chordata; Lepidosauria; Squamata; Viperidae. The transcript is spliced from 2 exons.